CCGCGCCUGGCACACGCCCGCGGCUGCCACCCGCGGGCUCCCCCGCGCACCCUCAGCGGGACUGGCCGGCUCGGGGCCGCUCGCACAGUCACGCGCCUACACACAUCCCCCCCGCACCCACAAGCCCCACAGGGUCCUCGCGUCUUCGCGCCGCGCCACGCAGCUAAGCAUCGUCUGCCCAGCUUGGGCGCAGACACAGUGUUGGGACCAUCUCCCCAAGCACAAGCCUUAUGUGGGCCUGUUGGCUUUCCUCAGGGAGUCAUUGCCUCUCCUCCAGGACAGCUGUCAACACUCACCCCGACUUUCAGUCCAGUGCCGCCAAUACCCCGCAAUUAUUUCAGACACAGGAGAGCAAGAAAAGCUUCAAGGAGCUGAGUACAAGGGCAAGAGAGGAAGCCAGUAUUUCCAAUGAAGGUCAAUCUGCAAACAUCAUUAUGGGAUCCAUUUGUUGAUUUGUUCAUUCAUCCAUUGAUCGUCCCCUCUUUGCACUGUGUCCUGUACUAGGUGCUAUGAAUACAGUGGUGACGAAAAUCCAGCCCAGCGUCUGUCUGCAAUGAGUUCACAGUGCCCGCCCACCCGCUGGAGGAAAGAGAUUAGACGGGUGUUAA
Molecule: long non-coding RNA, 608 nt
Organism: Rhinolophus ferrumequinum (greater horseshoe bat)
Lineage: Eukaryota; Metazoa; Chordata; Mammalia; Chiroptera; Rhinolophidae
Exons: 3
Source: RefSeq, a predicted model, not a curated record